CACGCUCACGCUAAAGGGUCAGGAGAACUAAUUAGACGGGAUGAGUGACAGCUGAUCCGUGGGGUGAAAGCAAUUAAUACCAGCCAGAAUGGAGCAGGGAUGAUCCGGCGCUGCAUCUGGGAUGAAAGUUUAAUACCUGAAGUUUAAAUAUGAAGGAACUGCUCUUCCUGCAGCUUGAGUUGGCAGUUUUCAGCUCCACCCAUGGUGUCUUGCUCUUGAGUGACGAUGCAGAGACGGACCGACAAGAUGAAUCCAGGCAGGAGACCCUGGGUCGGACCCAGAACUCUCUUGAGGGAUUAUGUAUCCUUUUUGUUCUGGAAACACCUUGAGACCCUCCAGGAGAAGCUGGAGAGCAUCGCUGAGGAGAGGGAGGUCUAGGUUUCCUUCCUGGACCUCCAUGACCUUGGACAAGUAGCUGAAAGUAGACAAAUGGAUGGAGAGACAGUCCAAACCUAGUCCAGAACUCCUCCCUGCAGCUUUGACAGAAGAGAGUUGUAACGGACGUGUCUGAGGAUAAAUAUCUCUGACAUUCAUAGAUCUGACUAGCUGGAGGCUCCAGGUUGUGAUUUAUUGUGAUAAUUUCAACAUUUCAUUUGUCUGAAGACGCCUGCGUUGUUUCUUCUUCCUAAAGCUACGGAGACUCUAGUGAAAGGCUUCGGUUAUCUCCUGCUGCACAGAUAUAUGGACGCUUCAGAUGUUUCCUACUGUGACUGAUGCCAGGAUGCAGCUUCGGUAGCUGUAAACAACAUUAUAACUCAGGGACUCCAUCGGUUUUACUCAGCUCAGCUCAAAACCUUAACAUGAACUCCAUGAAUAAAACGCGGUCAGACCUUCAUUUACAGAUGAGAAACCAGAAACUUUGCUUUUUAACUGUUCAGUUUCACAUUGUCACAUUAAAACUUCAGCAGCAUCCAAACCUGGUUAACCUUUUACAGGCGGGGUCAAAGGGCACAAACCUGCGAUCUCACCCGCCACCUCCAUCAGUCGCUGACAUUUUCGCUUUGCCUUGGCGCCGUCGGUGAGACGAGCGGCUGCAGAAAACUCAUCUCCGAGGUGCUUUUUUUUAAAUCCAUGCUGAUUUGUUGCUGUAGACAUGGUGAGAAAUAAGUUUAUUUGUCUUUAUUUUCUAUUUUAUUUUUGAAUUCAAAGAAAAUAAAGCCAAAAGCGAUUUGA
Nothobranchius furzeri (turquoise killifish) is the source of this 1173-nucleotide long non-coding RNA. RefSeq lists it as uncharacterized. The record is from RefSeq and is a predicted model, not a curated record. Lineage: Eukaryota; Metazoa; Chordata; Actinopteri; Cyprinodontiformes; Nothobranchiidae.